GCAUAAACACGUCGAAAUUCAUACCGGACCAUAAGGAACUUGGAGGUGCUGGAGACGUGCUGGAGAAGUGUGAGGAAAGCCCUGGUGCGGCAUGGCGAUCAUGAUGGCUCUUUAUAAGGCUUAAGACAGCUUCUACCAAUCACAUAGAAGUGGAAAAAGAUGAAGGGGAAGAAGAAGAAAAAGCUCUGUGGAGCUUCUCUUUGUGAAAGAACAUUUUUGAAGACCUUUAAAACGUGAAACUUCAGCUGGUCCUAGACAACAUUACAACAUCCCAGAAAGAAGUUGGAAAUCUUCAGAAGUUUGUCACUUCCGGUGACAUGACCCAGGGCCACCAUAAAGUAGGAGCUCAAGAGAAGAUUUGUAAUUUUACUCUCUGACCUUUAAAAAGAUGGAUGGUCCAUUCUGCACAAAUGAAGAGUACCCUCAUAAGGGCAUAGACCGGCCAGAAGAUCUGUCUCCUUGAAAUAGAUGAGCAGAUCUCAGGGUUAGGAUGAAGACUUGAAAGUACUGUUUAAAAAAGGAAUGUUCAGGAAGACGGAAGAUCA
This is a long non-coding RNA of Polypterus senegalus (gray bichir), 545 nucleotides long. RefSeq lists it as uncharacterized. The transcript has 4 exons. NCBI's taxonomy places the organism in Eukaryota, Metazoa, Chordata, Cladistia, Polypteriformes, Polypteridae. The record is from RefSeq and is a predicted model, not a curated record.